AGAGUUUGAUCCUGGCUCAGGAUGAACGCUAGCUACAGGCUUAACACAUGCAAGUCGAGGGGCAGCAUGGUCUUAGCUUGCUAAGGCCGAUGGCGACCGGCGCACGGGUGAGUAACACGUAUCCAACCUGCCGUCUACUCUUGGACAGCCUUCUGAAAGGAAGAUUAAUACAAGAUGGCAUCAUGAGUCCACAUGUUCACAUGAUUAAAGGUAUUCCGGUAGACGAUGGGGAUGCGUUCCAUUAGAUAGUAGGCGGGGUAACGGCCCACCUAGUCUUCGAUGGAUAGGGGUUCUGAGAGGAAGGUCCCCCACAUUGGAACUGAGACACGGUCCAAACUCCUACGGGAGGCAGCAGUGAGGAAUAUUGGUCAAUGGGCGAGAGCCUGAACCAGCCAAGUAGCGUGAAGGAUGACUGCCCUAUGGGUUGUAAACUUCUUUUAUAAAGGAAUAAAGUCGGGUAUGCAUACCCGUUUGCAUGUACUUUAUGAAUAAGGAUCGGCUAACUCCGUGCCAGCAGCCGCGGUAAUACGGAGGAUCCGAGCGUUAUCCGGAUUUAUUGGGUUUAAAGGGAGCGUAGAUGGAUGUUUAAGUCAGUUGUGAAAGUUUGCGGCUCAACCGUAAAAUUGCAGUUGAUACUGGAUAUCUUGAGUGCAGUUGAGGCAGGCGGAAUUCGUGGUGUAGCGGUGAAAUGCUUAGAUAUCACGAAGAACUCCGAUUGCGAAGGCAGCCUGCUAAGCUGCAACUGACAUUGAGGCUCGAAAGUGUGGGUAUCAAACAGGAUUAGAUACCCUGGUAGUCCACACGGUAAACGAUGAAUACUCGCUGUUUGCGAUACACAGUAAGCGGUACAGCGAAAGCGUUAAGUAUUCCACCUGGGGAGUACGCCGGCAACGGUGAAACUCAAAGGAAUUGACGGGGGCCCGCACAAGCGGAGGAACAUGUGGUUUAAUUCGAUGAUACGCGAGGAACCUUACCCGGGCUCAAACGACGGGGGACUACCGGUGAAAGCCGGUAUCCAGCAAUGGCCGCCGUCGAGGUGCUGCAUGGUUGUCGUCAGCUCGUGCCGUGAGGUGUCGGCUUAAGUGCCAUAACGAGCGCAACCCCUAUCGACAGUUACUAACAAGUAGUGUUGAGGACUCUGUCGAGACUGCCAGCGCAAGCUGCGAGGAAGGCGGGGAUGACGUCAAAUCAGCACGGCCCUUACGUCCGGGGCGACACACGUGUUACAAUGGCAGGAACAGAAGGCAGCAACAUAGCAAUAUGAAGCCAAUCCCCAAACCCUGCCUCAGUUCGGAUUGGAGUCUGCAACCCGACUCCAUGAAGCUGGAUUCGCUAGUAAUCGCGCAUCAGCCAUGGCGCGGUGAAUACGUUCCCGGGCCUUGUACUCACCGCCCGUCAAG
Molecule: ribosomal RNA, 1400 nt
Filed under: uncultured bacterium
Lineage: Bacteria
Description: bacterial SSU rRNA
Rfam family: Bacterial small subunit ribosomal RNA
Source: RNAcentral